Molecule: ribosomal RNA, 449 nt
Filed under: uncultured bacterium
Lineage: Bacteria
Description: partial 16S ribosomal RNA
Rfam family: Bacterial small subunit ribosomal RNA
Source: RNAcentral
AACGAACGCUGGCGGCAUGCCUAACACAUGCAGGUCGAACGAGAUCUUCGGGUCUAGUGGCGCACGGGUGCGUAACGCGUGGGAAUCUGCCCUUUGGUUCGGAAUAACAGUUGGAAACGACUGCUAAUACCGGAUGAUGACGAAAGUCCAAAGAUUUAUCGCCAGAGGAUGAGCCCGCGUAGGAUUAGCUAGUUGGUGUGGUAAAGGCGCACCAAGGCGACGAUCCUUAGCUGGUCUGGGAGGAUGAUCAGCCACACUGGGACUGAGACACGGCCCAGACUCAUACGGGAGGCAGCAGUGGGGAAUAUUGGACAAUGGGCGAAAGCCUGAUCCAGCAAUGCCGCGUGAGUGAUGAAGGCCUUAGGGUUGUAAAGCUCUUUUACCCGGGAUGAUAAUGACAGUACCGGGAGUAUAAGCUCCGGCUAACUCCGUGCCAGCCGCCGCGGUAA